RNAcentral lists this ribosomal RNA (1390 nucleotides) under uncultured bacterium. RNAcentral's name for it is "16S ribosomal RNA". It matches the Rfam family "Bacterial small subunit ribosomal RNA". The record is from RNAcentral.
AGAGUUUGAUCCUGGCUCAGGAUGAACGCUAGCGGCAGGCUUAACACAUGCAAGUCGAGGGGCAGCAUGUCCAGCAAUGGAUGAUGGCGACCGGCGGAAGGGUGCGUAACGCGUGAGCAACAUGCCCUAUACAGGGAGAUACACCAGGGAAACUUGGUCUAAUAUCCCAUAGCAUUCAUUGAAGGCAUCUUUAAUGAAUUAAAGCUUCGGUGGUAUAGGAUUGGCUCGCGUGACAUUAGCCAGAUGGUGAGGUAACGGCUCACCAUAGCAAUGAUGUCUAGGGGUUUUGAGAGGAAGGCCCCCCACACUGGGACUGAGACACGGCCCAGACUCCUACGGGAGGCAGCAGUGAGGAAUAUUGGACAAUGGAUGGAAAUCUGAUCCAGCCAUGCCGCGUGCAGGAAGACGGCCUUAUGGGUUGUAAACUGCUUUUAUACGGGAGCAAUAAGGGUUACGAGUAAUCCGAUGAGAGUACUGUAUGAAUAAGGAUCGGCUAACUCCGUGCCAGCAGCCGCGGUAAUACGGAGGAUCCUAGCGUUAUUCGGAUUUAUUGGGUUUAAAGGGAGCGUAGGCGGGGGGUCAAGUCAGCUGUGAAAUACGUACGCUUAACGUUCGUCUUGCAGUUGAAACUGGUUUUCUUGAGUGCGUAUGAGGCAGGCGGAAUUCGUGGUGUAGCGGUGAAAUGCAUAGAUAUACCACAGAACACCGAUUGCGAAGGCAGCUUACUAAACUGUCACUGACGCUGAUGCACGAAAGCGUGGGUAUCAAACAGGAUUAGAUACCCUGGUAGUCCACGCUGUAAACGAUGAUUACUGGUUGUUUGCGAUACACUGCAAGUGACUGAGCGAAAGCAUUAAGUAAUCCACCUGGGGAGUACGUCGGCAACGAUGAAACUCAAAGGAAUUGACGGGGGCCCGCACAAGCGGAGGAACAUGUGGUUUAAUUCGAUGAUACGCGAGGAACCUUACCUGGGUUUAAAUGGGGAGUGACAGGCUUGGAAACAGGCCCUUCUUCGGACACUCUUCAAGGUGCUGCAUGGUUGUCGUCAGCUCGUGCCGUGAGGUGUCGGGUUAAGUCCCAUAACGAGCGCAACCCCUAUCGAUAGUUACCAGCACGUUACGGUGGGGACUCUAUCGAGACUGCCGGUGUAAACCGUGAGGAGGGUGGGGAUGACGUCAAAUCAGCACGGCCCUUACAUCCAGGGCUACACACGUGUUACAAUGGCCGGUACAAAGGGCAGCUACACAGCGAUGUGAUGCUAAUCUCCAAAUCCGGUCUCAGUUCGGAUCGAAGUCUGCAACCCGACUUCGUGAAGCUGGAUUCGCUAGUAAUCGCGCAUCAGCCAUGGCGCGGUGAAUACGUUCCCGGGCCUUGUACACACCGCCCGUCA